GCAAGGUGAAGCAAGGAUAUUGAAGUGACUGUGAAACUCACACCACAUUUAAUUACUCUAAGCGAGAUCCGCACAGAAUCCUGAACAACCGCCGUUAAAUGAUAUGUUACUCGCCAAGAGACUACAAGAUACUCACAAGCCUAGACACUCACACUCCUUGCUCAGUCUUUCAAGAGCCCUGACCAGAGCCUUCACUGACUCUGUGAAGAUCACAGAAUCAUCAGCAAACUAAAGAUUGGUGAAUAUUUCUUCACCAACAGAUGCCUCACAGCUGCUGGACCCCACAACCCUGCCCAACACCCAGUCCAUGCAAACAAUGAACAGGGUAGGAACAAGAAAACACCCCUGAUGAACCCCAGAAUCAACUGGGAAGAACGCAGAGGUUCUGCCUCAACUUUAAGCAGCACUCACAGUACCAGAGUACAGUCCGGUCAUGACGUCCAGCAAGUUCAGAGGGAUCCCGCAGAGUCUCAGGAUUUCCCCCAGGGCAGCUCAACAACUAGGUCAAACCAAAUCAACAAAGGCUGCAAAGAAACUCUGUCGAUAUUCACAUUUGCGUUUAAUAAGAUCCCUCAGUGCCAGGAUGAGGUUGAUGAUAGACGACUUCUUAAGCAUAAAAACCAGACCGCUUCAGUCGCACUUAGGUGAGCAAGUGAUCAUGGAUACUACUAAGGAUGACCCUAGCAAGGACCUUACCCGGCACUGAGAGCAGUGUUAUCCCCCUGUAGUUGCCACAAUCCAGGUGAUCACCCUUCCCUUUCCAGAUAGGGACUACAAGUCCCAUUUUCCAGCCAGUUGGGAUGAUACCUGUCUCCUAAAUGGAAGAAAAGAUUGGUUGCAAUGUCAGGAGGACAGCCUUAUCAUCAUCCUGGAGAAGUUCACCCCGGGAUUCCAUAGAUCCCUGCGGCCUUCCCUGCUCUCAGCUGGUUCACCACCUAUGCAAUCUCAGUGAGACUGGGUGAUUCACAGCUAAUCAGAGGAUCAGCCUCAAGAACUGUGCACCUAGAGAUGUUCAACAUCCUAGCCAGAGGAUCAGCUUUAAACAGCUGCUCAAAGCUGCUUGCCCAGCGGAUCACAACUGCAGUAUCAUCCUUCCAGGGUGCCCUACAAGAUGAAACACCUCCUUCUGGGAGGACUGGAUCUGUCAAGACCAUUUUUUUUUCAGGAACUUUGAGGCUAACAAAUACAUGCGCUAGACUGGAGGGAAACUCAGGUGUUGAAGCUCUCCCAUUGAAAUGGACACAGCCACUGGUAGGUCUACUAAUUAGACCCAAAGGAAAGCAUCUUCAAGUCGUGUUGAGCAAACAGUAAACCUGAAGACCUUAUAUAAGAAUCUAUCGGCUUCUGGUCAAGGAUUAGCUCUAAUUUCCCCAAAAUCAUAAAAACUGCAUUUUAAAUAAGCCCAUAAAUAUUUGAUUAAUGGCCAGUAUUACCGAAAACUAGCAAGUUUCCACACACUAAGUUCAUGCCUGUAAACAGUUACUCUAAUGUUUUGUUUCUGAUGGCUGGUUUCCUGGCAUCUUUGUGUCCAGGGAAAAUGAUACAGAGGGAAGGUGAAUUAAAGUCUCAAACCAAAAAUCUAAAACGAAGACUUAAUUGGGGAACGAGUAACCUUCUGUUCUUCUUUCAGAUCAAUUUGGACCCAAGUGUUUGUUAAAGUCUCGGCUUAACAAGCGAGGACUGUGAAACCGCCUCCGCGAAACAUAUAACGAAUCUAUGAGAGCGGUGACUAAUUGGGGUUCGGUAUAGUUUAUGCCCCCCCUGGCAAAGCUCUCGGUGUGAUCUUGCAGAAAUUCUUGACUCACUCCAUAUGUGCCAUUGCUUUUGAAAUAUUUAAUAUAUAUAUAACAUUUAUAUUUAUCAUCUAUGAGAUUAAAACAAAACACGAUUGACUUUGGAAA
Molecule: long non-coding RNA, 1901 nt
Organism: Brienomyrus brachyistius
Lineage: Eukaryota; Metazoa; Chordata; Actinopteri; Osteoglossiformes; Mormyridae
Exons: 3
Source: RefSeq, a predicted model, not a curated record